AGUGAAGACUGUUACUAUAUCCUUCUUACUGGGUGCCUCACACAAUGGGAGAACACUCCAGGACUCUUUUUUUUUUUUCUGGACAUGUGACAGAAGAAAGCCAGAUGAGAUGAAGAAUAAUAUGGUGAAGAUAUGGAGGAACAGAGGCCAAAUGAUCAUAAAGAGGCACCAAAAUACAAUAAUUAUAAUAUGUAGUAAAUCAAAGGGAAAUAAGCAGGUUGACUCAGAAAAGUGUUUUAUAGUUUUGUGUGGAAGCUGCUUUGUCUAAUUAUGUGGUUGAUUCAAGAAUCUUUUCCUCUGGCUUUAUUUGAUACAUAAUUGACAUAUGACAUUGUGUAAGUGUAAGAUAUUCAGUGUGAUGAUUUUAUGUGUUUAUUGUGCCAUAUUUACAAUAAGGUUAAUUAAACAGCCUUCACCU
Long non-coding RNA from Bubalus bubalis (water buffalo), 418 nucleotides. RefSeq lists it as uncharacterized. NCBI's taxonomy places the organism in Eukaryota, Metazoa, Chordata, Mammalia, Artiodactyla, Bovidae. The transcript is spliced from 2 exons. The record is from RefSeq and is a predicted model, not a curated record.